AAAGGGAGACCUAAUUCGGGUAGAAGACGAAAAAAUAGUAGUCGAAACCAAGAAUCAAUCCCAAAAGGUCGGAACGAGGUAUGUGGCUUUCAAACUAGGUUCUGGGUUCACAAAAGACCUGAAUCAGGAACAAGGGCUAUUAGCUCAGGUGGUUAGAGCGCACCCCUGAUAAGGGUGAGGUCCCUGGUUCGAGUCCAGGAUGGCCCACCUGCACAGGUGGCAAAAACAAGAGAAACGAGGAAUCAGCACCUUAUCUUACUUACAUAGUAAGAGAGAAUGCUGGCUCUGAGUAAAGAGUCCAGAGGAACCUUGAAAACUGCAUAGAGCUAGGUGAAAAAGCCAAAAAAGAAGACCGCAA
This 358-nucleotide transfer RNA is filed under the name Microcystis aeruginosa SK1. Its description in RNAcentral is "partial 16S-23S ribosomal RNA intergenic spacer". The stretch from base 134 to 207 matches the Rfam family "tRNA". Lineage: Bacteria; Bacillati; Cyanobacteriota; Cyanophyceae; Chroococcales; Microcystaceae. The record is from RNAcentral.